Molecule: ribosomal RNA, 525 nt
Filed under: uncultured bacterium
Lineage: Bacteria
Description: partial 16S ribosomal RNA
Rfam family: Bacterial small subunit ribosomal RNA
Source: RNAcentral
ACUCAAAUGAAUUGACGGGGACUUGCACAAGCAGUGGAUUAUGUGGUUUAAUUCGAUGAUAAACGAAAAACCUUACCAAGGUUUGAAACCUAACUGAAGACACGCAGAAACGUGUGUCGUCUCACAAGGACAGUUAGGCAGGUGAUGCAUGGCCGUCGUCAGUUCGUAGUUUGAACCGUUCCCUUAAGUGGGGUAACGAACGCAACCCUCGUUGUCUGUUAUACGUAUCAGGCGAGACUGCCCAGCUUUCUGAGUUUGAAUUUGAAAAAAUUUGAAAAUAGAAAGCUGGGAGGAAGGCGAGGAUGACGCCAGGUCAGCAUGUCCCUUUGAUACCUUGGGCUACACACAUAAUACAAUGGCGGUUACAACGGGUCGCGACGUCGAAAGGCUGAGCCAAUCCUAAUAAAAACCGCCCCAGUUCAGAUUGGGGGCUGAAACUCGACCCCAUGAAGUUGGAAUUGCUAGUAAUCGCGGGUCAGCUAUACCGCGGUGAAUACGUUCUCAAGUCUUGUACACACCGCCCGU